This 792-nucleotide ribosomal RNA is filed under the name Pasteurella multocida. RNAcentral describes it as "bacterial SSU rRNA". It matches the Rfam family "Bacterial small subunit ribosomal RNA", at positions 193 to 968 of the family's 1533-position model. Lineage: Bacteria; Pseudomonadati; Pseudomonadota; Gammaproteobacteria; Pasteurellales; Pasteurellaceae. The record is from RNAcentral.
UCUGAGGAGGAAAGGGUGGGACCUUAGGGCCACCUGCCAUAAGAUGAGCCCAAGUGGGAUUAGGUAGUUGGUGGGGUAAAGGCCUACCAAGCCUGCGAUCUCUAGCUGGUCUGAGAGGAUGACCAGCCACACUGGAACUGAGACACGGUCCAGACUCCUACGGGAGGCAGCAGUGGGGAAUAUUGCGCAAUGGGGGGAACCCUGACGCAGCCAUGCCGCGUGAAUGAAGAAGGCCUUCGGGUUGUAAAGUUCUUUCGGUAAUGAGGAAGGGAUGUUGUUAAAUAGAUAGCAUCAUUGACGUUAAUUACAGAAGAAGCACCGGCUAACUCCGUGCCAGCAGCCGCGGUAAUACGGAGGGUGCGAGCGUUAAUCGGAAUAACUGGGCGUAAAGGGCACGCAGGCGGACUUUUAAGUGAGAUGUGAAAUCCCCGAGCUUAACUUGGGAACUGCAUUUCAGACUGGGAGUCUAGAGUACUUUAGGGAGGGGUAGAAUUCCACGUGUAGCGGUGAAAUGCGUAGAGAUGUGGAGGAAUACCGAAGGCGAAGGCAGCCCCUUGGGAAUGUACUGACGCUCAUGUGCGAAAGCGUGGGGAGCAAACAGGAUUAGAUACCCUGGUAGUCCACGCUGUAAACGCUGUCGAUUUGGGGAUUGGGCUAUAUGCUUGGUGCCCGAAGCUAACGUGAUAAAUCGACCGCCUGGGGAGUACGGCCGCAAGGUUAAAACUCAAAUGAAUUGACGGGGGCCCGCACAAGCGGUGGAGCAUGUGGUUUAAUUCGAUGCAACGCGAAGAA